Molecule: RNA transcript, 1395 nt
Organism: Galeopterus variegatus (Sunda flying lemur)
Lineage: Eukaryota; Metazoa; Chordata; Mammalia; Dermoptera; Cynocephalidae
Gene: IL12B
Gene name: interleukin 12B
Exons: 8
Source: RefSeq, a predicted model, not a curated record
AGGCCCAUCGGACUCUGCAGCCUGUCCAGAGCAAGAUGUGUCAUCAGCAGUUGGUCAUCUCCUGGUUUUCCCUGGUUUUGCUGGCAUCUCCCCUCGUGGCGAUAUGGGAACUGGAAAAAGACGUUUAUGUCGUAGAGCUGGAUUGGUACCCUGAUGCCCCCGGAGAAAUGGUGAUCCUCACCUGUGACACCCCUGAAGAAGACGGCAUCACCUGGACCUCAGACAAGAGCAGUGAGGUCUUAGGUUCUGGCAAAAACCUGACCAUCCAAGUCAAGGAGUUUGGAGAUGCUGGCCAAUACACCUGUCACAAAGGAGGCGAGGUGCUGAGCCAGUCACUCCUGCUGCUUCACAAAAAGGAAGAUGGAAUUUGGUCCACUGAUAUUUUAAAGGACCAGAAAGAACCCAAAAAUAAGACCUUCCUAAAAUGCGAAGCGAAGAAUUAUUCUGGACAUUUCACCUGCUGGUGGCAGACGGCAAUUAGUACUGAUCUGAAAUUUGUCGUCAAAAGCAGCAGAGGCUCCUCUGACCCCCGAGGGGUGACGUGUGGAGCAACGACACUCUCUGCAGAAAGGGUCAGAGUGGACCACAGGGAGUAUAAGAAGUACGCGGUGGAGUGUCAGGAGCACAGUGCCUGCCCAGCUGCUGAGGAGAGCCUGCCCAUUGAGGUCGUGGUGGAUGCCGUUCACAAGCUCAAGUAUGAAAACUACACCAGCAGCUUCUUCAUCAGGGACAUCAUCAAACCCGACCCGCCCAAGAACCUGCAGCUGAAGCCAUUACAGAAUGCUCGGCAUGUGGAGGUCAGCUGGGAGUACCCCGACACCUGGAGCACCCCACAUUCCUACUUCUCCCUGACAUUCUGUGUCCAGGUCCAGGGCAAGAACAAGAGAGAAAAGGUAAGAUAAAGUUUUCGUGGACAAGACCUCAGCCACAGUCAUCUGCCACAAGGAUGCCCAGAUCCGGGUGCAAGCCCGGGACCGCUACUAUAGCUCAUCUUGGAGCGAAUGGGCAUCUGUGUCCUGCAGUUAGGGACCAAUCCUAGGAUGAAACCUUGGAGAAAAACUGGAAGAUAUUAGGCAAAAAUUUUUAAAGACAUGAUGGAAUAGACCCAAAAUAAUUUUUACCUGAGUUGCUUUUUAAAAUUUGUUUAAGAUAAUAAUGAUGUCUUUACUGUAUUUUUAUAUUUAGAAGCUAAAUGCCCACUGAAACAAUCAGCUAAUUUAUUUAUAGAUUUUUCAGCUUUCAAGUUGCCACAGAUCUUAAUGCUAUUUAAAUAUUUAAAUAAUUUAUGUAUUUAUUAAUUUAUUGCUGUUAUUUAACAAUUGUGUGCCAGGAUGUACUGAAUGUUUUCUAUUCUGAUGGCCCAAUCCAUAAGGAUGGGGUCUCAUUGUGAAAAAU